Molecule: long non-coding RNA, 2559 nt
Organism: Chinchilla lanigera (long-tailed chinchilla)
Lineage: Eukaryota; Metazoa; Chordata; Mammalia; Rodentia; Chinchillidae
Exons: 4
Source: RefSeq, a predicted model, not a curated record
CCGAGUGGGUUACCCCAAUGAAAAUAUUUUAGCAAGAGAAAACAGGAAGAGCCAAGAGAUUCAGUAAAGAAGUACAAAGCAUGUUCAGAUACCCUCAUAGAGAUGGCCUGGAGAUGGCCCUCCAUCCAUUUAGCUACCAGUACGCAAGGAAUUUGAAAUAUACUGAGUAACAUGGCACUAUGUUAUGCUCUCGGGAUUGUAUGGCCUUGGAUUCCAAUAGCUUCAGCUUCACAGGUUAAGACAGACAAGCAAGCAGACAAUUAUAACAGCCUUACCAGCGGCAUGAAGGACCAGGCAUGGUGCUAAGAGUGUCCCUCCACAGGAGGAGACAGUGAAAGGCAAGGCUGGAGAAGUAGGGCCAGCUUAGGAAAGGUUUGCACAUGCUAUAUCAAGGAGGUAACAUUUUAUUUUAGAGCCACUGAGCCGUCAAGAAGAUUUUGGGCCAGGUGUGGUGGUGCAUGCCUGUAAUUCCAACCCCUCGGAGGUGGAGGCAGGAAGACAACAAUGGAUUGCAUGAGACAAGACAAGGCAUGAUAGACAGAAGAUGGCAUCAACCACACUCUCAGUCUCUAGUUUGGGCAACUUGGAGGGCAGGGGCACAUCCACUGAUAAGGAGCAGGGUUAGUGGGUACCAUGCUGAGUUUAGUCUGGCAUGCGUUGAGGUGAGAUGCCGCAUUUCAGAAGUCCACCAGGCUCAUAGAGUGUGACCUCAUUUUCUGGAGCCAUGGCCAGCAGUGGGUGGACACAUAGAGCAGCUGAAGUCAUGAGAGCCUGUGAUACUUCCCGAGGACCGUGCAUAGAGAAGAGGAUCAAAGACAGCCUUGGAGAACAAAGAGCAAGUAGAGGCAGAUGCGGGGGCAAACAGACAGAUACGAAGAAGUGCAGAGAUGUUGGAGAAAAGUCAGCAGCAAUGAGCUGAGCAGAAAGUUCAAAGGAGAGAGGUGAACAGUGCCUGCUGUGGAAAGGGGUGAAGUGUGGUAGGAAAUGAGCAGGGACCACGGGUCGGGCAGUGAGGCUUGCAGGCGAGGGGCUGGAGAAGUAAGAGUGAUGAAGGCCAGAGCGCAGCGGAAGAGUGAAAGAAGGAUUGUGCACAGUGAGCGCUCUGCCAGCAGAUUCGCUGGUGAAAGGAGGGGAGAACAAAGAGAGCAGACUGAAGGAGAAUAAAACAGGAGGCGUUUUGAUUUUUAACGAAUAGAGGAGGUUGGCAUAUUUGUAGGCAGGGAGGGGAAGCCAGCAGAAAGGAAAGGAUGAAGCCACUGUAGGAAGAGGUUUCUGAAUGGGAGGAGCCUGUUCUCAUUGCUAAUCAGAAUCUGUCCUGUUACCUGCCGAAAUGAACACAAGAAUAAACUGGUUGUGUAGCCGUAAGUACUUAAAACGACAUUUAACUCCUGGAGCGGCCGUAGCGGGAAUGUGCUUCACAUCUUGGUAACAUUAGUCUGGUGGGAGGUACCAACUGACUUGAGACGCGCGCGUCUCCUGGGUCUGUCCCUGCGCACAUGUGUUCCUGUCUGUCUCAAGUCAUCUAUUGCAGAAGUUUCUGGUCCCAAUCCUGGCUGGGGUUCUCAUUUUGUUCAUUUGCCACCUCUUUAACCCCUUUAAAAAUGUCAUUCGAAGCCAUCUUUCCCUGCUUUUCAACUCCAGGGCUCUAUGCAUCUGUGGUCUUACUUCAGUUCAGUUCUCCGCACAGACCCGAGUCCCUUGCCUGUGUGCUAAAUGUUGGUGCUCCAGAGAUACAAUGAAGAUGAGCCGCCGUCAUAGAGGGCUCCCCGCCAUCUCUCAUGCCAGCCCCUCUCUGGAAGAAUGAGAAAAUGGGGCGAGAAGACGCCAUGGGAUCUGAGCAGCGGGCACUUCAGACUCACUGAGUUUCAUGGGGCACAGUGGGGUUCACAGGAAGGCAGGGCACAGGUAGAACUAGAGGUGUCAGAGAUGAUGUUUCAUUCUGUACUUGGAUAUUGCUUUAUUUGGGCCUUUUGCGGUCUGGCAGCCAAGGAAGAGAAGCAGCCAACCUGGCGUAUAUCUUUUGGGCACGGCAGACUGUCAGUAGGGCAGGUUUUUCCAGGUCCAAGCUAGCUGGGGGGAUACGGGCUGCAGCGAUGUGAUUCAAAUGAGAGUGCUAUGGAGGAGGCAGGUUCUUACUGACUGUAGCUAAAGUGCUCCGACCAGUGGUAGGGACGCUGAAGGUGUGCCCAGUAUACGUUAGCUAAAAUUAAGGCAAGGUGAGUGCCUCUCUUUUAUCGUUGACAGUAGAGGCCUGAGGCACUCCCUCUGGUGGACAGACGAGGUGGCGUUGGAUCUGGAACGUUCCCCAGAGCCCCAUGCACCUAGAGGCAGGGCUUGUGGAAGGUGGCUGAAAUAUGGGGUCUGUACAGAGGACUUGCGACUGGGGAGGAGAGGCUUAGCUGAAAGCGGGUUACUGGGGAUAUGACCUGGACGGGUAUGCCUCUAUCCCAGCUCCUCCCUUCUCCAUUUCCUGGCUCUCAUGACCUCAGCCACUUACCUCCCUGACAGGUCCUUCCACAAAACCACUAUAGGGUGCAACUGUGAGUGAAAAUAAACUGC